UUCACCCCCCGCGACGAUAAGCCGUGAACCUGGUCAGGCCCGGAAGGGAGCAGCCACAGCGGUGGAUUCGGGUGCCGGGGUGUAGCAGG
This 89-nucleotide signal recognition particle RNA is filed under the name Gammaproteobacteria bacterium. Its description in RNAcentral is "signal recognition particle sRNA small type". It matches the Rfam family "Bacterial small signal recognition particle RNA". From Rfam's summary of the family: The signal recognition particle (SRP) is a universally conserved ribonucleoprotein involved in the co-translational targeting of proteins to membranes. Archaeal SRP consists of a 7S RNA and homologues of the eukaryotic SRP19 and SRP54 proteins. The record is from RNAcentral. Lineage: Bacteria; Pseudomonadati; Pseudomonadota; Gammaproteobacteria.